RNAcentral lists this ribosomal RNA (1533 nucleotides) under Candidatus Micrarchaeota archaeon CG10_big_fil_rev_8_21_14_0_10_45_29. Its description in RNAcentral is "bacterial SSU rRNA". It matches the Rfam family "Archaeal small subunit ribosomal RNA". The record is from RNAcentral. Lineage: Archaea; Nanobdellati; Microcaldota.
UCCAGUUGAUCCUGCUGGAGGGUACUGCUAUCGGAGUACGAUUAAGCCAUGCAAGUCUGCUGGUGGACUUCCACCGGCGGCGAACGGCUGAGUAACACGUAGUCAAUCUGCCCUAAGGACGGGAAUACCCUCGGGAAACUGAGGAUAACUCCCGAUAACCCAUUUAUGCUGGAAUGCUUAAUGAGUUAAAUCUUUGGCGAAUUGGAGCCAAUGGGCCUUAGGAUGAGACUGCGUCUGAUUAGGUUGUUGGUGAGGUAACGGCUCACCAAGCCGAUAAUCAGUAGGGGCAAUGGGAGUUGGAGCCCCCAGAAGGGCACUGAGACAAGGGCCCUAGUCCUACGGGAUGCAGCAGGCGCGGAACCUUUGCAAUGCGCGAAAGCGUGACAGGGGAACUCCGAGUGGUGAGGGCAAAUUGUCCUCAUCUUUUAGCCAAUUUAAAAAGUUGGCAGAAUAAGAUCUGGGUAAGACCAGUGCCAGCCGCCAUGCGCGUGAUUUUCGCACGCACGGCACGGUACGCGGUAAUACUGGCAGAGCGAGUGGUACCCACGAAUAUUGGGUCUAAAGAGUCCGUAGCGGGUCGGUUAAGUCCACUGUGAAAUCUGGCAGCUUAACUGUCAGGAGUGCAGUGGAUACUGGUCGGCUUGGGAGCGGGGGAGGUCAGGAGUACUUGUGGGGUAGUGGUAAAAUACUGUAAUCCUACAAGGACUACCAGUGGCGAAGGCGCCUGACCAAAACGCGUCCGACCGUGAGGGACGAAGGCUAGGAGAACGAAUCGGAUUAGAUACCCGAGUAGCCCUAGCAGUAAAUUAUGCAGACUGUGGUGUUGCGCCGACUUCGUGUCGGCGCAGUGCUGUAGCGUAGGUGUUAAGUCUGCCACCUGGGGAGUACGGCCGCAAGGUUGAAACUUAAAGGAAUUGGCGGGGGAGCACCACAAGGCGUGGAUGCUGCGGUUCAAUUGGAUACAACGCCGGGAACCUUACCUGGGGAGACGGCAGGAUGACGGUCAGACUGAAGAUCUUACCCGACGAGCCGAGAGGUGCUGCAUGGCCAUCGUCAGCUCGUGGUGCGAACUGUCAGGUUAAGUCCUGUAACGAGCGAGACCCUCGUGUACUGUUGCUAACUCUGCCUCCGGGCGGGGUGCACACUGUAUGGACUGCCCGUGUUAAAUGGGAGGAAGGAGGGGGCGACGGUAGGUCAGUAUGGCCUGAAUCUCUCAGGGCUACACGUGGCAUACAAUGCUUAUGACAAUGGGCUGCUACCCCGAGAGGGGAUGCUAAUCUCUCAAACAUAAGCUCAGUUCAGAUUGAGGGCUGAAACUCGCCCUCAUGAAGCUGGAAUGCCUAGUAAUCGCGUGUCAACAUCGCGCGGUGAAUACGUCCCCGCUCCUUGCACACACCGCCCGUCAAGUCACCCAAACGGGGUUUUGGUGAGGCAGCCUCUUAUUGGGGCUUUCGAACCAGGAUUUCGUGAGGGGGGCUAAGUCGUAACAAGGUAUCCGUAGGGGAACCUGCGGAUAGAUCACCUCCAAAACAA